UGUCCGUUUGAAGGUAUAAAUGGUCUGGCCUGCUCACUGAUAAGGUUAUUUAAGAGCCGCGGUAUCUUGACCGUGCAAAGGUAGCAUAAUCAUUAGGAGUUUAAUUGGAGUCUAGAAUGAAUGGUUGGACAAAGGAAAAGCUGUCUCUGUUGUAAAAGUUGAAAUUUACUUUUAAGUGAAAAGGCUUAAAUGAGUCAAAGGGACGAUAAGACCCUAUAAAGCUUUAUAGAUAAUAUGAAUUUAAUUGAUUUAAUGUUAAUAAAAAUUAAGUUCAACUAUUCUAUUUCGUUGGGGUGAUGAGAGUAUAAGUUAAAUUAACUGCUUUAAAAAAAUUCUAAUAUGGGAGAAUAAAAGAGUAAUGAUCCUUCUUAAAGAUUAAAAGACUAAGUUACUUUAGGGAUAACAGCGUUAUUUUUUUUGAGAGUUCUUAUCGAAAAAAAAGAUUGCGACCUCGAUGUUGAAUUAAAAUAUCUAUAUAAUGCAGCCGUUAUAUAAGAGG
This 499-nucleotide ribosomal RNA is filed under the name Pseudoliomera granosimana. RNAcentral describes it as "partial large subunit ribosomal RNA". It matches the Rfam family "Bacterial large subunit ribosomal RNA", at positions 1830 to 2572 of the family's 2925-position model. The record is from RNAcentral. Lineage: Eukaryota; Metazoa; Arthropoda; Malacostraca; Decapoda; Xanthidae.